Molecule: long non-coding RNA, 3913 nt
Filed under: Gallus gallus (chicken)
Lineage: Eukaryota; Metazoa; Chordata; Aves; Galliformes; Phasianidae
Description: lncRNA (ENSGALG00010015526.1)
Source: RNAcentral
UAAGAGGGUUUCUAGCCUGUCCCUGCAAUGUUAAAUAUAAAUAAGCAGCCAUUCCAAACGUUACAAAACAGAACAUCUUUCUCUAUUCCGUGUAAUAGAACCAAUUUGCUGCAGUAGUGUCAUUAAACGCCAAAUGCAGCUAGCAUGAAAAAUUGGAGCAGCUUGGCCAUUUUUCUCUGGUCCUGUCAUCUGAACAUGACUGCCUGCAAUAAGGAGUACCAUCAUCCAUAUGCCUUCUGUCAGCCUCCAUGACAAAUGCAACACAGUCUUUGUGCUUCCAGCAAAUAUAUAGAGAAAAAGAUAGACAAAGCCUCACUUGGUUCUGAUUUUUGGAGAGAAGGCAUUACAUAGACAAAGUAAAAAUGUAUCAUCUGCACAAUGAUCAGCAUAUUCAAUCAUUCCAGCUGGGAGCUAUUUUUCAGGAAAAGACCAGUGUGAAAUAACUGUAUGAGCUGACGCUGUACAGCUGAUGUAACAAUCAGAAUGACCAUUUCAGUCUGAGUUUAAGGGAAGACGACUGUGAAGAACACUUUGGAAAAUGCCCAUAUGAAGAUACUACUAAAGAGCAGUCAGCCAGGAACAGAAGAUGACUUAAGGCAGGAGAACUCGUGACCCACCAGGAAUGCUACCUUACUUCCAGCUGUGGAGCUGUGACCCCUCAGGAGCUGAACCAUUUAAGAAGUGCCCAGCUAUCACAGAAUCUGUCAUCUGAAUGCUGCACCCUGUCUUCAGAAGAGCUCUUUCAUUCACAAAGACACUAGCAGGGAGUCCAAGUGCCAUCUAUUUCUCUCUGUUAUCUCUUACAUGGCGGUUCCAUCUCUUCCAGUUAAUAAGGUUAAAACAGAGACUGACAGUAAAGUAACACUGAAUUAUUAAAAGUGAAACUUCAGUUAUUGUUAUUCCAGAGCUUCUGCUAAAUGUGCCAUCUUCUCCUCUAGACUUCAUUUCAGGGGAAAGACUCGACAUGCUUGGAGAAUAGCAUCACUGCACUCCCACUGCACAUCCCUGUCCAAACCUUCUCAUCCAACAAAAUGAAUACAAAUACUCAUGAAAGAGGCCAUAAUAAUUUCGAUAAAGAAAUAGAGAAUUAGCAGUAAAUGACAGUCAGCGAUGCACAGCACAGGGAGUGCUAAUAUAUUUUAUUAAAAAUAUUAUUAGCACGCUACUUUAGGGUUAAAAGGUGUCUCUCAGUAGAUUUCAAAUGCUCCUACCCCUCUCGGAUUUCCUUGAGCUCAAAACUUCCCAUAUCUCACUCAUUUCCCCUCUCAGUAGUUUUCCUGCCUGUUCGUACUUCCUGCAAGAAGGUCCUCAGGGCUCCCCUUCCAACAUGGCCAUUUCUAUCUGUGGCAGGUUUUCAGAAGAACAGUGUUUGUGGUCUGUUCAUGUAACAAUCCAUACAUCUAUGCAAAAAUAAGUCCCCCAUAACAGCAACACCACAUGUCUGGGAAAUGUGGAAUACCUAUCUGUCGGUACAUCCCAUCUCCUCACUUGCCCAGGCUGCCUUUAGGGUCUUCUUAACCCUGCCCUCUUCAGCAGGCCCUCAGGUAAAUGAGACACUUGCAGGGAUGGUGUUACAGAAGCAGUAAACAAAGUUUUCCAUUACUUCAACCAUAAAGAUAUAUGAAACUCUUAAAAACCAACGCAUGGAUUUGGAAUUAAUAACUAAGUUUAUGAUCGACUCUGAGUGGUCCGACUCUCUUCAAAGUAUCAAUAAACUCCUGCCAGUUUUAAAUUCUGUACGUCUAAAUAAAAACAUAUACUUUUCCCAUAGGUUUCAGCUGGGAGUGGGCAGUCUAUACCAUCAUAAGGGGCUGGUUUGCUCUUCUGAAGAGCCAAAAGAAAACUGGUUUGCUGGUUUUUAAACAACCCGAUGGUUCCUUCCCAAAUACACAGAACAGAGUUUUCUGCAGGAUGCCUCUGCUCAAUCCUAUAGAGCAAAAGGAAUUAAAAUGUAUGAGGCUAAAAGUGGAGAUUAACCAUAAUCUAAACAGAGCUCAAAUUAAAUGAUUCUCUUGUUUUUUUAUUGUUAAUAAAGGCAAGGUGGAAUGCCAGAGCCAUGGCGGGUACUCCUGGGAGAUCAUUAUAAAGAAUAUGCAAAGAGGUAUUCGAGGUAACAUACUUUAGGCCCAUGAAUGUGGAAGGAUCGAUAGUACUGGAUAUGCAGAUGUUUUAAGGGACAGAAAAUGAAAACAAUGGCACCUUAUUUUUGUUGUUAAAUACAAAAUUCUCAUUUCCAGAUCAUUUCUUCCUACUGGAAGGAAAACACAACACCAAUCCAGAUUUCUGACUUAAAAAAAAAAAAGAAAGAAAGAAAAAAAGAUCUGAUAAAACCAUUUUUUUUAAUUUCACACUUAAACCUUCCUAUAAAGUAUGGGCAAAUACUGUCAGUUAAGUGUCCCUUCAUCAAAAAACAAACACACUGCUGAGACUGAUGUAACAGUUCUUACCAUCUAUUUGGUAUUCACAUGCAAAUAAAUAAAAAAUAAAAAGAAUCAGACAUCAAACCCUCUGCUGCGACCCACAGCUCACAGCCACGUUUUCCCCUUUCUGUCCAACACAAACCAUGUAAUACUCAUCACCAUUGUAAACUGUUACGGCAGAUCUGCAAAAUGCCAAAGUUAGGCUGACUGGAAAUUCUACUAGUACACAAAAUACCUUUACAAUAUAUUACACCUUCCUACUUUGAUUAAACUUAUUACUUCAUAUUUCAAGCAGAUGUAAAUAUUCCCCUAGUGGGAAAAUAUUGUCUAUUUGUAUAAGACUUAAUGACAUAAAGUAAAUUGCGCUGUUGGUUUGAGUUAGACAUGCAAUACACUUCAGUAAUGUGCUAUUUCCUUCUGUAUAUGAUGCAAUUCUAAGGAAAACAUGAUUAAAAAAAAUUGCUUGAGAUUUCCGUUUAUUGCUUUAAAGGUUAUUACUCACAUCAGCAUUCUACUAUUUUUCCCCUCAUCAAUUUCCAUUAUCAUUUUGAUUCAGAGUAAUUCUCUCCUUGUAGGUUUGCCCAACAGAUUUUAAGUGAAUAUAGUACUCUGAUUAAAAAGAAAGCAGAAUAAAAUAGAGGCCUGCUGAUUCAAAAUAUUAUGAAAGAUAGUUCAGUUAACAUGAGCCUUGUUUCACAUUUUCAUUGAAAGACAUUUUCCUCUGAAACCUCUACAUGCAGUCCUCUUCUGUCGUUACCAUAAGUUAACUUCUCCCAGCAAUUAUUCCUGUCUAUUCGAAACUAUACAGUGAGAUGCAACCCAUGCUUUCCUUUCCAAUGCUCAUUUUCCAACAUAGCAAAGAAUGUUUGCCUUUCUAACAAAAGAAUAUUAGAUAUACGAAUGCCAAGCAAAGUGCAGUACAGGAGAAACACAGAAAUUAGAGCUGCUUGUGAUUAGUGGGUAAUUCAGACUUCCAAAACACCUGCUGAAGUCAGAGUGGCUGUCCCACGUGUGUUGUACCACUUGUUCACCUAAAACUGGUUUCUGUGCAAAGCAACUGAAUGAACUGAGGGCCCUCUGAUGAGAAACUAUUUUCUACAAAGACAAAAUAUUCUAUGAUGCUUUUAAAACAAGGCCAGUAAGAAUAGCUCUUUACACUUACUUCCAUUUUUCCUUACAUACUAAUUACUAUUCCAGACAAGAUUUUAGGAUAACAAUAUUUUAAGCAGAGAUGUCUCAUUUUUCACUUGCUGAGUCUUGCCUAGCAGAUUUUCACUGAGUUUAGUCUGACUAGAAUUAAUUUCUUAUUCUAGCUGCUUAUUCAUGCAGUUUUUACUCCUUUCUGCUCGGCUGCCUUGAGUAAGGAACUCCAACAGUACUGAAUGUCUGAAUGUACAGCAAAAUAAAGGUGUACUGUCGCCAUAUCGCUGUAUAUUGCUCAUUACUUGAUGGACUAACAACACAAAGUAUCUACUGCAGAUACUCGAAGCAUA